CGCCGGCGGCGUGCCUAAUUACAUGCAAGUCGAACGCACUCUCGUUUAGAUUGAAGGAGCUUGCUCCUGAUUGAUAAACAUUUGAGUGAGUGGCGGACGGGUGAGUAACACGUGGGUAACCUGCCCUAAAGUGGGGGAUAACAUUUGGAAACAGAUGCUAAUACCGCAUAAAACCUAACACCGCAUGGUGUAGGGUUGAAAGAUGGUUUCGGCUAUCACUUUAGGAUGGACCCGCGGUGCAUUAGUUAGUUGGUGAGGUAAAGGCUCACCAAGACCGUGAUGCAUAGCCGACCUGAGAGGGUAAUCGGCCACACUGGGACUGAGACACGGCCCAGACUCCUACGGGAGGCAGCAGUAGGGAAUCUUCCACAAUGGACGAAAGUCUGAUGGAGCAACGCCGCGUGAGUGAAGAAGGUUUUCGGAUCGUAAAACUCUGUUGUUGGAGAAGAAUGUAUCUGAUAGUAACUGAUCAGGUAGUGACAGUAUCCAACCAGAAAGCCACGGCUAACUACGUG
This 515-nucleotide ribosomal RNA is filed under the name uncultured bacterium. Its description in RNAcentral is "bacterial SSU rRNA". It matches the Rfam family "Bacterial small subunit ribosomal RNA", at positions 34 to 507 of the family's 1533-position model. The record is from RNAcentral.